Molecule: ribosomal RNA, 534 nt
Filed under: Mycobacterium gordonae
Lineage: Bacteria; Bacillati; Actinomycetota; Actinomycetes; Mycobacteriales; Mycobacteriaceae
Description: bacterial SSU rRNA
Rfam family: Bacterial small subunit ribosomal RNA
Source: RNAcentral
GCGGUAAUACGUAGGGUGCGAGCGUUGUCCGGAAUUACUGGGCGUAAAGAGCUCGUAGGUGGUUUGUCGCGUUGUUCGUGAAAUCCACGGCUUAACUGUGAGCGUGCGGGCGAUACGGGCAGACUUGAGUACUGCAGGGGAGACUGGAAUUCCUGGUGUAGCGGUGGAAUGCGCAGAUAUCAGGAGGAACACCGGUGGCGAAGGCGGGUCUCUGGGCAGUAACUGACGCUGAGGAGCGAAAGCGUGGGGAGCGAACAGGAUUAGAUACCCUGGUAGUCCACGCCGUAAACGGUGGGUAUAGGUGUGGGUUUCCUUCCUUGGGAUCCGUGCCGUAGCUAACGCAUAAGUACCCCGCCUGGGGAGUACGGCCGCAAGGCUAAAACUCAAAGAAAUUGACGGGGGCCCGCACAAGCGGCGGAGCAUGUGGAUUAAUUCGAUGCAACGCGAAGAAUACCUGGGUUUGACAUGCACAGGACGCCGGCAGAGAUGUCGGUUCCCUUGUGGCCUGUGUGCAGGUGGUGCAUGGCUGUCGUC